This is a non-coding RNA of Nicotiana tabacum (common tobacco), 1020 nucleotides long. Lineage: Eukaryota; Viridiplantae; Streptophyta; Magnoliopsida; Solanales; Solanaceae. The record is from RefSeq and is a predicted model, not a curated record.
UAAGAAAUGGAAAUAAUGAAUAUCAACGGCAAAGAGUAAUACAUAGAUAUGCUACAGUAAACAAUGCACUGGAAACACAAUCAAACCAAAACUUGCUCCCGCAAUAUCACACCAGCAAUUCAGUAGAAGAUCCUUUAUCACAGUGUUACAAAAUAAGUGGUAUACUAUAAAGAAAUGUCAUCAAUGUAUCAAUUACUCUAUCGAAGAGUAAUCCUCUGAAAUUUCAGAAUACAGCAAAGGCAACAUGGGGGACAGAACCACAUGCCUUGUCUUCCACAUAGAAUGUCUCACAUUGAGCAUUCAUGGAACAUCCCUGGUUUCAUUUUACGUCCACACAUCCUAUUCAAGGUGCUUUGCUCUAAAGACAAAUGAUUCUCUAGGAAGCCUAAACCAACAGCUCAUCGAUACCCAAAGACUAGGCACUCUUAAUUCUAUAAAGCACCGUGAGUAAAACCACUCAUUGUGCUUGCCUCAUCACAGUUAUGGCGGUGAGCUUUAUUGAGUACAAAUAUCUUGGGUGGGUAAGGCUGCAUAUGCAGUUGCCCCUGCUACCCAAAUAGACAAGCAUUGAGCACCAAGGGAGUCAGUGCUCUGAUAUAGUUUGAUAUUACGCAUUAUUUCAUGGUUUUUAAAGUUCAAUGGGGAAUGUAACUUUUUCUUUUUUAUUGAGCCGCUGCUACCCAAAUAAAGAAGCAUUGGGCACCAACGAUGUAGCAAGGACGCGCGGAAAAGUAGUCAAGACUCGAAGACUGUGGAAAACAAGACAUGAAUUCUCUACAAUUACAUUGUGGAACAAUUGAAGGGAUGUGGGAUGUGGCGCAGCUUGGUAGCGCGUUUGUUUUGGGUACAAAAUGUCACAGGUUCAAAUCCUGUCAUCCCUACCUAUUACUGUUCCUUUGAGCAGUAACGAGGGAUCAAUUGAGAUCGCUUCAAAUUGGACAUAAUCUUUGAUUUUUAUCAUGCUAUUCUAGUAUAUGCAUACAAAAUGUAUUGGGGUUAUGAAAAGAAUCCUUUUGUUUA